Molecule: ribosomal RNA, 3058 nt
Filed under: Kirchneriella aperta
Lineage: Eukaryota; Viridiplantae; Chlorophyta; Chlorophyceae; Sphaeropleales; Selenastraceae
Description: LSU rRNA
Rfam family: Bacterial large subunit ribosomal RNA
Source: RNAcentral
GUCAAAUAAAUGAAGGCAUAUGGUGGAGACCUAGGCAUUUAGAGACGAUGAAGGGCGCAGAUACCGGCGAUACGCUUCGGGGAGCUGGCAACAAGCAUUGAUCCGGAGAUUCCCGAAUGGGGCAACCUCUUAGAACUGUUCAUUGAAUUCAUAGAUGAGCAAGAGGCAACUUAGUGAAUUGAAACAUCUUAGUAACUAAAGGAAUAGAAAGCAAAAGCGAUUCCCAAAGUAGCGGCGAGCGAAAUGGGAACAGCCUAAACCAGCUCAUAGGGUUGGGGUCGUGGGAAAACAGUUCGAAAAUUUGUCAAGUUGCGCAUACGCGCAAGUUGCUCAUACUUCGCAACCAAGGGCCAAAAGCCAAGAGCCAAUUGAAAUAAAAUUUUCAAAAAAAUCUCGACGAAGCAGCUGAAUCCUGCACCAUAGAUGGUGAAAGUCCAGUAGUCAAAAGUUUGAAUCUCUCUGUUUUAUCCCGAGUAGCAUGGGGCACGUGGAAUCCCGUGUGAAUCAGCGAGGACCACCUCGUAAGGCUAAAUACUCCUAAAUGACCGAUAGCGAAAUAGUACAGUGAUGGAAAGUUGAAAGAGAACCCCCUUAAGGGGAGUGAAAUAGAACAUGAAACCGUAUGCUGACAAGCAGUGGGAGGGAUAUGUACCUGACCGCGUGCCUGUUGAAGAAUGAGCCGGCGACUUAUAGGGAAUGGCGGGUUAAGGACAGAGAUCCGGAGCCCAAGCGAAAGCGAGUCUGAAUAGGGCGUUCAAAGUCAUUUCUUAUGGACCCGAACCUGGAUGAUCUAACCAUGGCCAGGAUGAAGCUUGGGUAACACCAAUUGGAGGUCCCGAACCGACCGAUGUUGAAAAAUCGGCGGAUGAGCUGUGGUUAGGGGAGAAAUUCCAAUCGAAUUCAGAGCUAGCUGGUUCUCCCCGAAAUGCGUUGAGGCGCAGCGGUAACGAUGAGCUGUCGAGGGGUAGAGCACUGUUUCGAUACGGGCUGCGAAAGCGGUACCAAGUCGUGGCAAACUCCGAAUACUCGGCAAGCCUUCCGUAAACCAGUGAGACAGUGGGGGAUAAGCUUCAUUGUCAAGAGGGAAACAGCCCAGAUCACCAGCUAAGGCCCCUAAAUGGCCGCUAAGUGGAAAAGGAUGUGAGAAUGCUGAAACAACCAGGAGGUUUGCUUAGAAGCAGCAACUCCUUUAAAGAGUGCGUAAUAGCUCACUGGUAAAGCGUUCUUGCGCCGAUAAUGGCCGGGACUAAGCGGCCUGCCGAAGCUGUGGGAUUUUUUUUCUUUUAAUUUUUUAAAAAGUUGCGCAUACGCGCAAGUUGCUCAUACUUCGCAACCAAGAGCCAAAAGCCAAGAGACAGAAAAAAAAUCGGUAGGGGAGCGUUCUCCAUUGGGUGAAGCGAUCACGUAAGUGUUCGUGGACAGUGGAGAAGUGAGAAUGUUGGCUUGAGUAACGAAAACAUUGGUGAGAAUCCAAUGCCCCGAAAACCUAAGGGUUCCUCCACAAGGUUCGUCCAUGGGGGGUGAGUCAGGACCUAAGGCGAGGCCGAACGGCGUAGUCGAUGGCAAACAGGUUAAUAUUCCUGUACUUAUUAUUGUGGGGACCGAGGGACGAAGAAGGCUAAAUUGUAGCUGUGCAUGGAAUACAGUGGAAGCGUUCAAGACGUUGAUAGGUCGAAUAAAAACGACUCUAGAGUUAAGGCGUGAUCCCAUUUUCUGGAACUUGUUCCGGAUGGAUGUCAACGAUGUCAUACUUCCAAGAAAAGCUCGUACACUAUUAACACAAUAAUAACCUGUACCAGAAACCGACACAGGUAGGUAAGUAGAGAAUACUCAGGGGCGCGAGAGAACUCUCUCUAAGGAACUCGGCAAACUGGCCCCGUAACUUCGGAAGAAGGGGCGCCUGAGAAAUCAGGCCGCAGUGUCCAGGCUCAGGCGACUGUUUACCAAAAACACAGGUCUCCGCAAAGUCGUAAGACAAUAUAUGGGGGCUGACGCCUGCCCAGUGCCGGAAGGUGAAGGAAGUUGGUUAUUUUGAAUUUCAAGAGAAGCUGACGACCGAAGCCCCGGUGAACGGCGGCUGUAACUAUGACAGUCCUAAGGUAGCGAAAUUCAUUGUCGAGUAAGUUUCGACCUGCACGAAAGGCGUAACGAUCUGAGCGCUGUCUCAGAGAGAGACUCGGUGAAAUAGACUUGUCCGUGAAGAUGCGGACUACUAACAUUUGGACAGAAAGACCCUAUGAAGCUUGACUGUAUUCUGGAAUGGAAUUCGGGCUUUUCUUGCGCAGUCUAGGUGGGAGGCGUUGAAGAUUUCCUUCCGGGGAAGUUGGAGCCAUCAGUGAGAGACCACUCUGGGAAGGCUAGAAUUCUAAUGGCGAUCCUUGAAUCAGGACGCUUGACAGUUUCAGAUGGGCAGUUUCUCUGGGGCGGAGACCUCCCUAAAAGGUAACGGAGGUGCGCAAUGGUUCCCUCAGUCUGGACGGAAAUCAGACAUUGAGUGUAAAGGCAAAAGGGAGCUUGACUGUGAGACCUACAAGUCAAACAGGGGCGAAAGCCGGCCUUAGUGAUCCGACGGUGCUGUGUGGAAAGGCCGUCGCUCAACGGAUAAAAGUUACUCUAGGGAUAACAGGCUAAUCUUCUCCAAGAGUUCACAUCGACGAGAAGGUUUGGCACCUCGAUGUCGGCUCAUCACAUCCUGGGGCUGUAGUAGGUCCCAAGGGUUGGGCUGUUCGCCCAUUAAAGUGGUACGUGAGCUGGGUUCAGAACGUCGCGAGACAGUUCGGUCCAUAUCCGAUGUUAGCGUUAGAAUAUUGAGGUCAGUCACUCAUAGUACGAGAGGACCUGUAGUGAUCAUGCCUAUGGUCUAUCAGUUCUUUUUCCAAAGGGAAACGCUGAGUAGCUACGCAUGGAGUGCAUAACCGCUGAAAGCAUCUAAGUGGGAAGGCCAGACCAAGAUGAGUAUUCUCCAUUAAGCCGCAGCAAGACAAGCUGUAGAUAGGUAUCAGGUGUACAAUCAGUAAUGGUUUGAGCCGAGAUAUACUAAAGGCAGACUGAUUUUGAC